GUCCCUUGAAUUUUUUUUUUCAAAAGAUAACUUAAUGCUCUAUAACUGCAUUCUAGAAUCCUUUCUAAAUCGAAUUGUGCUGCUUUUCUAAAUUGAUUAGUGUUGCUUUCCAUAAGAUAUUAAGAUUGAUGACCAUUUCUACUCGUUUAAUUUUAGUGUUGUGGCCUUGUUUGAAAUGACAGUUGUGGUUAGUUAUUGAUAGUUAGUAUUCAAAUAUCCUCUUUUAGUCUCUUAGCAACUCUAAAGUUCUUCCUAUUUUAUCUAACUUCUUCAUUUAUGUAUUUGAGGUUUAUAUUAUUGAUUGAUAAUGUUGAAAUAGAUGUUAGAAAACUGGCCUAUAGAGAAUAGCCAAUAGAGCCCAACUCUAUUGGUCAUGCAUCAAAUGAGACACAUUGGUGAACUAUUCAAACUACUAAUUGAGGGGAAUUUUAUUAAUUUCAGUUGGAGCUGGAUUACACUGAAUAUUACUUACAUAGUUUAUGUUAGAAAAGAUACGA
RNAcentral lists this unclassified non-coding RNA (497 nucleotides) under Hevea brasiliensis (rubber tree). The record is from RNAcentral. Lineage: Eukaryota; Viridiplantae; Streptophyta; Magnoliopsida; Malpighiales; Euphorbiaceae.